AGGCAGCAGUUGGGAAUCUUCCCCAAUGGGCGCAAGCCUGAGGGAGCGACGCCGCGUGAGGGAUGAAGGCCUUCGGGUCGUAAAGCUCUGUUGUGAGGGACGAAGGAGCGCCGUUCGAAGAGGGCGGCGCGGUGACGGUACCUCACGAGGAAGCCCCGGCUAACUACGUGCCAGCAGCCGCGGUAAUACGUAGGGGGCGAGCGUUGUCCGGAAUUAUUGGGCGUAAAGCGCGCGCAGGCGGUUCCUUAAGUCUGAUGUGAAAGCCCACGGCUCAACCGUGGAGGGUCAUUGGAAACUGGGGGACUUGAGUGCAGGAGAGGAGAGCGGAAUUCCACGUGUAGCGGUGAAAUGCGUAGAGAUGUGGAGGAACACCAGUGGCGAAGGCGGCUCUCUGGCCUGCAACUGACGCUGAGGCGCGAAAGCGUGGGGAGCAAACAGGAUUAGAUACCCUAGUAGUCC
RNAcentral lists this ribosomal RNA (459 nucleotides) under uncultured bacterium. Its description in RNAcentral is "bacterial SSU rRNA". It matches the Rfam family "Bacterial small subunit ribosomal RNA", at positions 346 to 796 of the family's 1533-position model. The record is from RNAcentral.